Non-coding RNA from Bactrocera oleae (olive fruit fly), 1932 nucleotides. NCBI's taxonomy places the organism in Eukaryota, Metazoa, Arthropoda, Insecta, Diptera, Tephritidae. The record is from RefSeq and is a predicted model, not a curated record.
GUUUACAAAUUUUUUUUCAAUGCCACUUUGUCAAUACAAAACUUGCCCAAGUUCACAAUAGUAUAAUCGAAAUUCGAACAUUUCAAACGAAAUUCGUGAUACGAAUUUUUCGUUUGUAAGAAUAAAAAUACGUUGGAAUGAUUUAUUCACACGAUGUUUACGAUAAGGCUGAUUAUCUGAAGAAAUCGUAAAAAUAUAAUAUUUCUGCAUACGAGAAAAAAUUUAAAACUUUCCGCUUCAAGUAGCUAUAGUAAUUAAGACUGAUUUAGGUGCCUGGUCACAACGGUAUACGGUAUUCGGUGGUCGAUUACCAGCAGCAGUGCAGACGCAAGGACCUUCUGGCCCAGGGUAAGUGAUAAGAGGUUCAAGUAACACUUCGCUCUCGGCAAGGUACACCUUUCAGUGCUUGUAAGAGUUCUAACUAGACACUGUCCGAUCGGGACUCAUGUAGUAAUUUGAAUAUCUUACUGGAUGCCAGCUGCCUCAGCUCUUUGGAAGCAAAUUGGAUAGAAUCAUCUCAACACUUACUUCUCAAAUGUCCCGCUUUUGCCAGAUUAAGGUAAAAAUACCUCAGAUCUAAUACCUUUAGACAUCCAGGUGAAAUAGCGAAAAUAGAAAUCAAACACCUAAGCAGAUUUGUGAUAAGUUCAGGGCGCUUUUCUCAAUAGCUGAUAUUCAACUACAGGAGUUUUUCGUUUGGCAUCACAAAGGAUUCUACAUAAUAGCCUAAGUGUGAUCCGCUCGCAAUGCUGAGGGAUCAGCCAAAUAAACUAACAGAACCUUCCAAGCGCAUUCAAGUUCGUUUUUCUCUUCGUUUGGAAAGGAAGAAACUUUCUUUUUCGUAUGUGUAAGCUUAUCUAAAGCUAUAUAUUUGCGUUCAAGCAUUGGGUCAUGCACUAAUGUGAAUCAGUUUUCCUCACUUCACACAUUAUGGUCCAUUCUAAACGUUUUUACUUUAAUUGGCUCAAGUAUAUUUCAAGGUUAAAUGCAAUUUUAUUACAACCACAAGCGCAAGUAGUAAUUGAUUUGCGAAAUCGAGAGUAUUAAAUCAAAAAUAAGCAGACAAUGACUCAGUCCAGAAAUCGUUAAAUCAAAACUAUUAAUUUGAUUUUUUAAUUACAUUUCAUAUACUCGUAUGUAUGCCGCACACGGGGGCCAAUCUAAUCAAGAAAACUACAUUCCUGGGGGUCAAUAGCCGAAAACAACAUUUCGCUUUUAUGCACAAAUUCGGAAAAUGCACUGAAAAGCACCGAACAAUGGCAAUUGCAGUCGCCGCCUGAACGAAAGCCGCAACAACAACAACGAGUAAACGAGCAAAAUAACAAUUAUAAUAACAACAGCGCAGAUAAUAAAAGCGACAAGAAAUAUUUCUGUUGCCAUAAAUUUAUUAAGAUACCUCACGGCAAUGCAACGGGGGCGAAACAGACAGACACACAAUCGCUGAACACCAACAAUAUUAGUACGCUGCACGAGCGCGAAUUUUAAAUAAAAAUUUCAUUAUUAGACGAAGGCGAAAACAAAAGCAACGACAAAAAAAAAAAAUAAAAAAAAAAAAACAGAAAAUAAAUUUAAUAUAAAAUUGAAAUCAAACUAUUAAUUAAGAAAUUCCAGCAAAUGCAUUGCCGGCGCACAGUGGUACCAGAAUGAGUUUUAAGCUCUGUAGAUAGAUUUUUAUUACAAACUUCUUUGACAGCAACACAUUUCGAGAAAACCUUUUAGUGUUGAGGAAUCCGCAUUUUCGAUUAUCCGCAUAUCAGUGUUGAAUAUCGAUUCAUGCGUAUAAAAUUUGGAUGAUGAGUAUAUUUGGUAAAAAUACUGUUGGGAAAUGAUCCGGCUAUACGGGUUUACAAAGAUCCGGUUUAAAUUUUGAAUAACAUUUUACAGGUAUCAAAAAAAAAAGUUAAGGAAUAAAAAAAUUACUCAUGACCUAGA